RNAcentral lists this ribosomal RNA (458 nucleotides) under uncultured bacterium. Its description in RNAcentral is "partial 16S ribosomal RNA". It matches the Rfam family "Bacterial small subunit ribosomal RNA", at positions 338 to 795 of the family's 1533-position model. The record is from RNAcentral.
CCUACGGGUGGCAGCAGUGGGGAAUAUUGCACAAUGGGGGAAACCCUGAUGCAGCGACGCCGCGUGAGUGAAGAAGUAUUUCGGUAUGUAAAGCUCUAUCAGCAGGGAAGAAAUAGCGACCUUUGGGUCGCCAGACGGUACCUGAUUAAGAAGCCCCGGCUAACUACGUGCAAGCAGCCGCGGUUAUACGGAGGGGGCAAGCGUUAUCCGGAUUUACUGGGUGGAAAGGGGGCGUCGACGGCAGCGCAAGUCUGAAGGGAAAUGCCGGGGCUUAACCCCGGAACUGCUUUGGAAACUGUGCAGCUAGAGUGCAGGAGAGGUAAGUGGAAUUCCUAGUGUAGCGGUGAACUGCGUAGAUAUUAGGAGGAACACCAGUGGCGAAGGCGGCUUACUGGACUGUAACUGACGUUGAGGCUCGAAAGCGUGGGGAGCAAACAGGAUUAGAUACCCCAGUAGUC